UUGGAAUGGGCAUAUUUACCCAAUGUCUGUACCCCCAUUGUAUCUAGGAAGUAACUAACUUGCUUUUGAUUUUACAGGCUCAUAGGCAGAAGGGACUUGCCUUGUCUCAGAUGAGACUUUGGACUUGGACUUUUGAGACCAUACUGGAAUGAUUUAAGACUUUGGGGGACUAUUGGAAGGACAUGAUUAUUUUUUGAAUUGUGAGGACAUGAGAUUUGGGAGGGGCCAGGGGCAGAAUGAUAUGGUUUUGCCAUGUCCCCCCGCCCAAAUCUCAUCUUGAAUUAUAGUUCCCAUAAUCCCCACAUGUCAUAGGAAGUAUCUGGUAGGAGGUAAUUGAAUCAUGGGGGUGGUUCCCCCAUGCUAUUCUUGUGAUAGUGAGUUCUCAGGAGAUCUGAUGGUUUUAUAAGGGGCUUCCCCUGCACUUGGUUUUUCAUUCUUCUGUCGCCUGCUGCCAUGUGAAGAAAGAAGUGUUUGCUUCCCCUUCCAUCAUGGUUGGACGUUUCCUGAGGCCUCUCCAGUCAUGCUGAGCUGCUGGAUUGCAAUGGCGAUCUUGGCUCACUUUAACCUCCGCCUCCCAGGUUCAAGCGAUUCUCCUGCCUCAGCCUGCCAAGUAGCUGGGAUUACAGAGGUACCUGGUGCCAGUUCCUGAGACUUGAGGAUUCUGGUUGGUUCUCAGCACAGGAGUCAGCCUGCUCUGAUUUGCUAGUGCGUCUAGAGUGUUGACAGUUGUUUCCAUGGACUUCAAAUCAACCCAACCCUGUGAGCACAGACUUUCAGCACCAGAGUCAGAUUUCCCAAAAAUGCUAUUCUUGAAGCGUAGAGCCAGACUCACAGAUCCUGUAAAGAAAACAGAUCUUUCAGCAAGUGAAACACCCAAUCUUCCAUUGCAUGGGACUCACAGAGGUUCUGAGGGAGAGAUGUGAAUAGAAGGAGUGAUCAUCACUGUGGACUCUAUUUCUUCCAUCUGUGCGUGCAAGAUUUAUAUCUGUAUGUGUUUGUUUUAAAGUUUUAUUGAGGUAUAAUUGAUACACAAUAAUCUGUACCUAUUUAAUGUAUACAAUUUGAUGAGUUUGGACAUACUUAAAUACCUGUGAAACCAUCACCACAAUCAAGGUAAUAGACAUAGCCAUCACCUCCAAAAGUUUCUUUGUGUCCCUUUGUGGUUUGUUUCUGAGAUAAGAACACUUAACAUGUGGACUCUUGACACUCUCCUUGGAUCUCUUAAUUUGAUUGCUGUUGCUGUCACCACAUUGACUUCCUAGCCCUGCUGAUCCUCCUUUAUCACUAGCUCUAGAAAAAAAAACAAACCAAACACCACUAAUUCAUUUAUUCAGUAAUUCAACAAAAAAACCAUUGAGCACUUAAUAUUUGCAGAAUACAUGGCUAGAUGCAGAG
This 1395-nucleotide long non-coding RNA is filed under the name Homo sapiens (human). RNAcentral's name for it is "HSALNT0249810". Lineage: Eukaryota; Metazoa; Chordata; Mammalia; Primates; Hominidae. The record is from RNAcentral.